UGCUGGAGGUAUCAGAAGUGCGAAUGCUGACAUAAGUAACGAUAAAGCGGGUGAAAAGCCCGCUCGCCGGAAGACCAAGGGUUCCUGUCCAACGUUAAUCGGGGCAGGGUGAGUCGACCCCUAAGGCGAGGCCGAAAGGCGUAGUCGAUGGGAAACGGGUUAAUAUUCCCGUACUUGGUGUUACUGCGAAGGGGGGACGGAGAAGGCUAUGUUGGCCGGGCGACGGUUGUCCCGGUUUAAGCGUGUAGGUGUGUGUUCCAGGUAAAUCCGGUUCACUUUAACACUGAGGCGUGAUGACGAGGCACUACGGUGCUGAAGCAACAAAUGCCCUGCUUCCAGGAAAAGCCUCUAAGCAUCAGGUAACAUCAAAUCGUACCCCAAACCGACACAGGUGGUCAGGUAGAGAAUACCAAGGCGCUUGAGAGAACUCGGGUGAAGGAACUAGGCAAAAUGGUGCCGUAACUUCGGGAGAAGGCACGCUGACACGUAGGUGAAGUGAUUUACUCAUGGAGCUGAAGUCAGUCGAAGAUACCAGCUGGCUGCAACUGUUUAUUAAAAACACAGCACUGUGCAAACACGAAAGUGGACGUAUACGGUGUGACGCCUGCCCGGUGCCGGAAGGUUAAUUGAUGGGGUCAGCGCAAGCGAAGCUCCUGAUCGAAGCCCCGGUAAACGGCGGCCGUAACUAUAACGGUCCUAAGGUAGCGAAAUUCCUUGUCGGGUAAGUUCCGACCUGCACGAAUGGCGUAAUGAUGGCCAGGCUGUCUCCACCCGAGACUCAGUGAAAUUGAACUCGCUGUGAAGAUGCAGUGUACCCGCGGCAAGACGGAAAGACCCCGUGAACCUUUACUAUAGCUUGACACUGAACAUUGAGCCUUGAUGUGUAGGAUAGGUGGGAGGCUUUGAAGCGUGGACGCCAGUCUGCGUGGAGCCGACCUUGAAAUACCACCCUUUAAUGUUUGAUGUUCUAACGUGGACCCGUAAUCCGGGUUGCGGACAGUGUCUGGUGGGUAGUUUGACUGGGGCGGUCUCCUCCUAAAGAGUAACGGAGGAGCACGAAGGUUGGCUAAUCCUGGUCGGACAUCAGGAGGUUAGUGCAAUGGCAUAAGCCAGCUUGACUGCGAGCGUGACGGCGCGAGCAGGUGCGAAAGCAGGUCAUAGUGAUCCGGUGGUUCUGAAUGGAAGGGCCAUCGCUCAACGGAUAAAAGGUACUCCGGGGAUAACAGGCUGAUACCGCCCAAGAGUUCAUAUCGACGGCGGUGUUUGGCACCUCGAUGUCGGCUCAUCACAUCCUGGGGCUGAAGUAGGUCCCAAGGGUAUGGCUGUUCGCCAUUUAAAGUGGUACGCGAGCUGGGUUUAGAACGUCGUGAGACAGUUCGGUCCCUAUCUGCCGUGGGCGCUGGAGAACUGAGGGGGGCUGCUCCUAGUACGAGAGGACCGGAGUGGACGCAUCACUGGUGUUCGGGUUGUCAUGCCAAUGGCACUGCCCGGUAGCUAAAUGCGGAAGAGAUAAGUGCUGAAAGCAUCUAAGCACGAAACUUGCCCCGAGAUGAGUUCUCCCUGAGACUUAGAGUCUCCUGAAGGAACGUUGAAGACGACGACGUUGAUAGGCCGGGUGUGUAAGCGCAGCGAUGCGUUGAGCUAACCGGUACUAAUGAACCGUGAGGCUUAACCUU
RNAcentral lists this ribosomal RNA (1676 nucleotides) under Salmonella enterica subsp. enterica serovar Infantis. RNAcentral describes it as "partial 23S ribosomal RNA". It matches the Rfam family "Bacterial large subunit ribosomal RNA", at positions 1271 to 2925 of the family's 2925-position model. RNAcentral also lists the same sequence under 4 other names. Lineage: Bacteria; Pseudomonadati; Pseudomonadota; Gammaproteobacteria; Enterobacterales; Enterobacteriaceae. The record is from RNAcentral.